RNAcentral lists this long non-coding RNA (477 nucleotides) under Pan troglodytes (chimpanzee). RNAcentral describes it as "long non-coding RNA NONPTRT006331". The record is from RNAcentral. Lineage: Eukaryota; Metazoa; Chordata; Mammalia; Primates; Hominidae.
GGAAAAGGUUUCUGCCACUACCUUCCUAGACUCAUCUAAGUGGAUCGACUCCAGGGGAUGGAGAAUGGAAGGCAGCAGAUGUUUGUUGACUUCCUGCUCUAUAUCAGGCACUGUGCUAGAUACCAUACACGCCAUCAACAUUUAGGACAGUAUGGAGAAUGAAAGCUGUCUCUUGUAGAUAGGAUAUUUUCAGCCGUCAUCACCAUGGACUCUUUGAAAUGUACUACUUCAGAAAAGCCACAGUGACUCCCUCUGGGCCUCACCCACCUGAGAUGACAUCACGACACAAAUCCAGGACUUAUGCUCUUCAUACGGAUGGAAUGGUUGGUUCACUUGGCUUUUAGAGUGCAGACAAGCCGUUCAGAGGAGGGCAUGCCUCAGCCUGCACUCUUCUGACUCAUGACAUGACUUCUCCAUGGAGAGCCAGGAUUUUUCUCAAGUGUAACAAUAUUAAUUAUCAAGUCACUUUAAAACGUG